UCAACCAUUCCCCUUAGUUCAUGUUGUCUCUACAAUUUACAAUUGUAUAUGUAGUGCUACCUGAAUUAAAUUCUGGCAACUAAGCUCAUGCAGUGCUUAAGAUUAAAUGGGAUAUAAUGGAAAUGCAAAUGAGAAGUUCAGGGAUAUUCCUGGGAGUGCCUAUUAUGUGGCUCCGGAGGUGCUGAAGCGGAUAUAUGGAGCCGAUAAUUGCAUAUGGAGUGGAGUUAUACUCUACAUUCUGCUGUCUGGCAUUCCUCCUUUUUGGGCAGCAGGGCAGAUCCUCCUGUGAAGCAUAAAUUUCAUUGUAUCCAAGGAGAUAUCAAAUGCUGAAAACAUGGGACUCAAAAUGUAUAGAGAGUCGGAGACACUGCUAAACUGUCAUUUAUGGGUGUCUACCAAAUUCACUAUCAACCACUGUUGUAGGACCGGCGACAUGUUAAAAUUUAUUUUGGUUU
This is a long non-coding RNA of Triticum dicoccoides, 455 nucleotides long. RefSeq lists it as uncharacterized. Lineage: Eukaryota; Viridiplantae; Streptophyta; Magnoliopsida; Poales; Poaceae. The transcript is spliced from 2 exons. The record is from RefSeq and is a predicted model, not a curated record.